RNAcentral lists this long non-coding RNA (224 nucleotides) under Hordeum vulgare. RNAcentral's name for it is "long non-coding RNA (HVUL_LNC020374)". Lineage: Eukaryota; Viridiplantae; Streptophyta; Magnoliopsida; Poales; Poaceae. The record is from RNAcentral.
GAACGUGGAUGCGCCGUCUGCUCGGCACUUUAUCGGGAGUUCGUGGGACGGAUCGUGAUUGGAUCGCAAAGACGUUCCACUACAUCAAAUGUGUUCUUUAACGCUUUUGUUUAGCGAUCUACAAGGGUAUGUAGAUGUAAUCUCUCCUCUCGUAGAUGGUCAUUUCCUAGAUUGAUCUUGGUGAAGCGUAGGAAUUUUUUUGUUUCUCAUGCAACGUUCUCCAU